This 65-nucleotide transfer RNA is filed under the name Nothybus sumatranus. RNAcentral describes it as "tRNA-Ile". The record is from RNAcentral. Lineage: Eukaryota; Metazoa; Arthropoda; Insecta; Diptera; Nothybidae. RNAcentral also lists the same sequence under 1 other name.
AAUGAAUUGCCUGAUUAAAGGAUUACUUUGAUAGAGUAAAUUAUGUAAUUAUAUUACAUUCAUUA